UACGAAGGGGGCUAGCGUUGCUCGGAAUCACUGGGCGUAAAGGGUGCGUAGGCGGGUCUUUUAAGUCAGGGGUGAAAUCCUGGAGCUCAACUCCAGAACUGCCUUUGAUACUGAGGAUCUUGAGUUCGGGAGAGGUGAGUGGAACUGCGAGUGUAGAGGUGAAAUUCGUAGAUAUUCGCAAGAACACCAGUGGCGAAAGGCGGCUCACUGGCCCGAUACUGACGCUGAGGCACGAAAGCGUGGGGAGCAAACAGG
RNAcentral lists this ribosomal RNA (255 nucleotides) under uncultured bacterium. Its description in RNAcentral is "partial 16S ribosomal RNA". It matches the Rfam family "Bacterial small subunit ribosomal RNA", at positions 524 to 776 of the family's 1533-position model. The record is from RNAcentral.